This 1144-nucleotide ribosomal RNA is filed under the name Leuconostoc carnosum. RNAcentral describes it as "bacterial SSU rRNA". It matches the Rfam family "Bacterial small subunit ribosomal RNA", at positions 317 to 1454 of the family's 1533-position model. The record is from RNAcentral. Lineage: Bacteria; Bacillati; Bacillota; Bacilli; Lactobacillales; Lactobacillaceae.
GACUGAGACACGGCCCAAACUCCUACGGGAGGCUGCAGUAGGGAAUCUUCCACAAUGGGCGAAAGCCUGAUGGAGCAACGCCGCGUGUGUGAUGAAGGCUUUCGGGUCGUAAAGCACUGUUGUAUGGGAAGAAAAGUUAAGGUAGGGAAUGACCUUAGCCUGACGGUACCAUACCAGAAAGGGACGGCUAAAUACGUGCCAGCAGCCGCGGUAAUACGUAUGUCCCGAGCGUUAUCCGGAUUUAUUGGGCGUAAAGCGAGCGCAGACGGUUGGUUAAGUCUGAUGUGAAAGCCCGGAGCUCAACUCCGGAAAGGCAUUGGAAACUGGUUAACUUGAGUGCAGUAGAGGUAAGUGGAACUCCAUGUGUAGCGGUGGAAUGCGUAGAUAUAUGGAAGAACACCAGCGGCGAAGGCGGCUUACUGGACUGUAACUGACGUUGAGGCUCGAAAGUGUGGGUAGCAAACAGGAUUAGAUACCCUGGUAGUCCACACCGUAAACGAUGAACACUAGGUGUUAGGAGGUUUCCGCCUCUUAGUGCCGAAGCUAACGCAUUAAGUGUUCCGCCUGGGGAGUACGACCGCAAGGUUGAAACUCAAAGGAAUUGACGGGGACCCGCACAAGCGGUGGAGCAUGUGGUUUAAUUCGAAGCAACGCGAAGAACCUUACCAGGUCUUGACAUCCUUUGAAGCUUUUAGAAAUAGAAGUGUUCUCUUCGGAGACAAAGUGACAGGUGGUGCAUGGUCGUCGUCAGCUCGUGUCGUGAGAUGUUGGGUUAAGUCCCGCAACGAGCGCAACCCUUAUUGUUAGUUGCCAGCAUUCAGAUGGGCACUCUAGCGAGACUGCCGGUGACAAACCGGAGGAAGGCGGGGACGACGUCAGAUCAUCAUGCCCCUUAUGACCUGGGCUACACACGUGCUACAAUGGCGUAUACAACGAGUUGCCAACCUGCGAAGGUGAGCUAAUCUCUUAAAGUACGUCUCAGUUCGGACUGCAGUCUGCAACUCGACUGCACGAAGUCGGAAUCGCUAGUAAUCGCGGAUCAGCACGCCGCGGUGAAUACGUUCCCGGGUCUUGUACACACCGCCCGUCACACCAUGGAAGUUUGUAAUGCCCAAAGCCGGUGGCCUAACCGUAAGGAGGAACC